UACGGAGGGUGCGAGCGUUGUCCGGAAUCAUUGGGCGUAAAGAGCUCGUAGGCGGCUUGUCGCGUCGGAUGUGAAAGCCCGGGGCUUAACUCCGGGUCUGCAUUCGAUACGGGCAGGCUAGAGUUCGGUAGGGGAGAUCGGAAUUCCUGGUGUAGCGGUGAAAUGACGCAGAUAUCAGGAGGAACACCCGUGGCUAAGGCGGCUCUCUAGUACGGUACUGACGCUGAGACGCGAAAGCGUGGGGAGCGAACAGG
This 254-nucleotide ribosomal RNA is filed under the name uncultured bacterium. Its description in RNAcentral is "partial 16S ribosomal RNA". It matches the Rfam family "Bacterial small subunit ribosomal RNA", at positions 524 to 776 of the family's 1533-position model. The record is from RNAcentral.